UACGGAGGAUGCAAGCGUUAUCCGGAUUCAUUGGGUUUAAAGGGUGCGUAGGCGGACUAUUAAGUCAGUGGUGAAAGCCUGCAGCUUAACUGCAGAACUGCCAUUGAUACUGAUAGUCUUGAGUUUGGUUAAGGUAGGCGGAAUGUGUAAUGUAGCGGUGAAAUGCUUAGAUAUUACACAGAACACCAAUUGCGUAGGCAGCUUACUGAGCCGACACUGACGCUGAGGCACGAAAGCGUGAGGAUCGAA
Molecule: ribosomal RNA, 249 nt
Filed under: uncultured prokaryote
Description: partial 16S ribosomal RNA
Rfam family: Bacterial small subunit ribosomal RNA
Source: RNAcentral